Molecule: ribosomal RNA, 667 nt
Filed under: uncultured bacterium
Lineage: Bacteria
Description: bacterial SSU rRNA
Rfam family: Bacterial small subunit ribosomal RNA
Source: RNAcentral
GCAGUCGAACGCGAAAGUGGACUUCGGUCCGCGAGUAGAGUGGCGAACGGGUGAGUAACACGUGGGCAACCUACCCUGGAGCGGGGGACAACUCGAGGAAACUCGAGCUAAUACCGCAUACGUUUCGGCGAUUAUGGUCGCCGAAGGAAAGACAGCCUCUUCUUGAAAGCUGUCACUCUGGGAUGGGCCCGCGUCCGAUUAGCUUGUUGGUGGGGUAACGGCCUACCAAGGCGACGAUCGGUAGCCGGCCUGAGAGGGCGAUCGGCCACACUGGAACUGAGACACGGUCCAGACUCCUACGGGAGGCAGCAGUGGGGAAUAUUGCGCAAUGGGGGAAACCCUGACGCAGCAACGCCGCGUGAAGGAUGAAGGCCUUCGGGUCGUAAACUUCUGUCAGAAGGGAAGAAGGUUUGCGGGUUAAUAGCCCGUAAACUUGACGGUACCUUCAGAGGAAGCCCCGGCUAACUCCGUGCCAGCAGCCGCGGUAAUACGGAGGGGGCAAGCGUUAUUCGGAAUCAUUGGGCGUAAAGGGCGUGUAGGCGGCUUAACAGGUCAAAGGUGAAAUCCCUCGGCUCAACCGAGGAACUGCCUUUGAAACCUUUAGGCUAGAGGCCGGGAGAGGCUAGCGGAAUUCCCAGUGUAGCGGUGAAAAUGCGUAGAUAUUGGG